CUAGAUGUGAUCAAUAAAUCAAGGAAAUCAUGUCCCUUACCUACAAAAGAGUUAGACAACUACAAAGACAUAAUUUUGGUAUUUUGGUUAGUGAAAAUGAUAAAAUACAGGUAUGAUAUAAUCACAAAGUGCUUGGUGAUCUCUCCCAAAACAAACCCAAUGAAAAGGGGUAAGUAGGAUGCCUAGGUAUGAUCCCAAUGCUAAUGCUUAUGAUGAAAUGCAU
RNAcentral lists this long non-coding RNA (223 nucleotides) under Lathyrus oleraceus (garden pea). Its description in RNAcentral is "Pisum sativum (pea) long non-coding RNA (PSAT_LNC021131)". Lineage: Eukaryota; Viridiplantae; Streptophyta; Magnoliopsida; Fabales; Fabaceae. The record is from RNAcentral.